GUACUUGGCCUCAUCAGUGGUUCUUGCUGGAAGCAAAAGUUGAGUGAUCAUGGGCGCCUUGGAUCAUCUGUCCCGUCUGUGUAACUUCACACAUACAAGGGAAGCCAUCAGGAUCAAGAAAAGGCGGCCACUGACGACGGUGAACAUCAAGGUGAAGAUGGACUGUGAUGGCUGCGAGAGGAGGGUCAAGAACGCCGUCAAAUCGAUUCGGGGUGUAACGACGGUGGUGGUGAAUCGCAAGAUCAACAAGGUGACGGUGACGGGGUAUGUGGAGCCUCGCAAGGUGCUGGCGAGGGUGAAGAGAACUGGGAAGACGACGGCGGAUAUGUGGCCGUACGUGCCCUACACGGUGGCCACCUACCCCUACGUCGGCGGCUCCUACGACAAGAAGGCGCCGGCGGGCCUGGUCCGCAACGUGCCGCAGGCCAUGGCCGACCCGGCCGCGCCGGAGGUCAAGUACAUGAACAUGUUCAACGACGAGGACGUUACCGCUUGCACCGUCAUGUGAUUCGAUCAUAUCAUAUUAGCAUCUGCACUCCGGCCAUCUGCACCCAGCCACGACGACAUGCCGAGAUUACUACUGUAGAUAUAUCGGUGUUCUCGCAGCGCUGGGGAAGAAUGAUACCAAGAAGAUGAGCUUGUGCAUGUACGGUACUGAUGGAUGAUGUACUCCAAAUUAAGAGCCAUAAUUCGGAACGAUGCCCAUGCUCAUCUACUACACCUGGGUGAACAGUCAAUUAAAAAUAAUAAUAGUAAAUUCAAAAAACAUCUACUUCUUUUAGAAAUCCAAGAUGCUCAUGUGCGCGGAAAAUUUCGGGGUGUUCGGACAUUUGAUGAGCGAACAAAAAAAAAAUCAGCUAUGAACAGUAUUCUUUUUCAAAGUUUCUUAGAGAGCUAAAUUGUUUUUGGCACGAGCUUCUCAGAUGUUCAAACACCAUAAAAUAUUGCAUGCAUGAGCAUCUUGGAUGCCUAAAUUUUUAGAUUUUAUUUUGAAUUUUUUACUAUUUUCUUCACGUCCGAGGUGUAGAUAAGCCUGAGUUACAACUUUAUAGUACGGCUUUAUGAUCUUCGAUAUAUACAUACCUGUCAGUCUCAAGCCUUCUCUUUUGUCCUACUUGGUCAUCGUUAUCUUUCUUUUUGCAAUGGGGGAAAGCAUGCAAAAUUGAAUCUUCCAACUCUUGAUUGUCAAAAAAGAUUGUUCCAAUUCAUUGUCAGCCUACAGUUCUGACCAUGCACCUGAAAGCAGGGGCAGACCCAGGAUUGGGCUAAGCCCCGGGCCCUAGGCCGCCUACAGUGCCCAUAAAACAUAUGCAUUACCAGAAAGGGUG
This 1328-nucleotide ribosomal RNA is filed under the name Triticum aestivum (bread wheat). RNAcentral's name for it is "partial small subunit ribosomal RNA". Lineage: Eukaryota; Viridiplantae; Streptophyta; Magnoliopsida; Poales; Poaceae. The record is from RNAcentral.